Molecule: ribosomal RNA, 2902 nt
Filed under: Escherichia coli KTE132
Lineage: Bacteria; Pseudomonadati; Pseudomonadota; Gammaproteobacteria; Enterobacterales; Enterobacteriaceae
Description: bacterial LSU rRNA
Rfam family: Bacterial large subunit ribosomal RNA
Source: RNAcentral
UUAAGCGACUAAGCGUACACGGUGGAUGCCCUGGCAGUCAGAGGCGAUGAAGGACGUGCUAAUCUGCGAUAAGCGUCGGUAAGGUGAUAUGAACCGUUAUAACCGGCGAUUUCCGAAUGGGGAAACCCAGUGUGUUUCGACACACUAUCAUUAACUGAAUCCAUAGGUUAAUGAGGCGAACCGGGGGAACUGAAACAUCUAAGUACCCCGAGGAAAAGAAAUCAACCGAGAUUCCCCCAGUAGCGGCGAGCGAACGGGGAGCAGCCCAGAGCCUGAAUCAGUGUGUGUGUUAGUGGAAGCGUCUGGAAAGGCGCGCGAUACAGGGUGACAGCCCCGUACACAAAAAUGCACAUGCUGUGAGCUCGAUGAGUAGGGCGGGACACGUGGUAUCCUGUCUGAAUAUGGGGGGACCAUCCUCCAAGGCUAAAUACUCCUGACUGACCGAUAGUGAACCAGUACCGUGAGGGAAAGGCGAAAAGAACCCCGGCGAGGGGAGUGAAAAAGAACCUGAAACCGUGUACGUACAAGCAGUGGGAGCACGCUUAGGCGUGUGACUGCGUACCUUUUGUAUAAUGGGUCAGCGACUUAUAUUUUGUAGCAAGGUUAACCGAAUAGGGGAGCCGAAGGGAAACCGAGUCUUAACUGGGCGUUAAGUUGCAGGGUAUAGACCCGAAACCCGGUGAUCUAGCCAUGGGCAGGUUGAAGGUUGGGUAACACUAACUGGAGGACCGAACCGACUAAUGUUGAAAAAUUAGCGGAUGACUUGUGGCUGGGGGUGAAAGGCCAAUCAAACCGGGAGAUAGCUGGUUCUCCCCGAAAGCUAUUUAGGUAGCGCCUCGUGAAUUCAUCUCCGGGGGUAGAGCACUGUUUCGGCAAGGGGGUCAUCCCGACUUACCAACCCGAUGCAAACUGCGAAUACCGGAGAAUGUUAUCACGGGAGACACACGGCGGGUGCUAACGUCCGUCGUGAAGAGGGAAACAACCCAGACCGCCAGCUAAGGUCCCAAAGUCAUGGUUAAGUGGGAAACGAUGUGGGAAGGCCCAGACAGCCAGGAUGUUGGCUUAGAAGCAGCCAUCAUUUAAAGAAAGCGUAAUAGCUCACUGGUCGAGUCGGCCUGCGCGGAAGAUGUAACGGGGCUAAACCAUGCACCGAAGCUGCGGCAGCGACGCUGAUGCGUUGUUGGGUAGGGGAGCGUUCUGUAAGCCUGCGAAGGUGUGCUGUGAGGCAUGCUGGAGGUAUCAGAAGUGCGAAUGCUGACAUAAGUAACGAUAAAGCGGGUGAAAAGCCCGCUCGCCGGAAGACCAAGGGUUCCUGUCCAACGUUAAUCGGGGCAGGGUGAGUCGACCCCUAAGGCGAGGCCGAAAGGCGUAGUCGAUGGGAAACAGGUUAAUAUUCCUGUACUUGGUGUUACUGCGAAGGGGGGACGGAGAAGGCUAUGUUGGCCGGGCGACGGUUGUCCCGGUUUAAGCGUGUAGGCUGGUUUUCCAGGCAAAUCCGGAAAAUCAAGGCUGAGGCGUGAUGACGAGGCACUACGGUGCUGAAGCAACAAAUGCCCUGCUUCCAGGAAAAGCCUCUAAGCAUCAGGUAACAUCAAAUCGUACCCCAAACCGACACAGGUGGUCAGGUAGAGAAUACCAAGGCGCUUGAGAGAACUCGGGUGAAGGAACUAGGCAAAAUGGUGCCGUAACUUCGGGAGAAGGCACGCUGAUAUGUAGGUGAAGUCCCUUGCGGAUGGAGCUGAAAUCAGUCGAAGAUACCAGCUGGCUGCAACUGUUUAUUAAAAACACAGCACUGUGCAAACACGAAAGUGGACGUAUACGGUGUGACGCCUGCCCGGUGCCGGAAGGUUAAUUGAUGGGGUUAGCGCGAGCGAAGCUCUUGAUCGAAGCCCCGGUAAACGGCGGCCGUAACUAUAACGGUCCUAAGGUAGCGAAAUUCCUUGUCGGGUAAGUCCCGACCUGCACGAAUGGCGUAAUGAUGGCCAGGCUGUCUCCACCCGAGACUCAGUGAAAUUGAACUCGCUGUGAAGAUGCAGUGUACCCGCGGCAAGACGGAAAGACCCCGUGAACCUUUACUAUAGCUUGACACUGAACAUUGAGCCUUGAUGUGUAGGAUAGGUGGGAGGCUUAGAAGUGUGGACGCCAGUCUGCAUGGAGCCGACCUUGAAAUACCACCCUUUAAUGUUUGAUGUUCUAACGUUGACCCGUAAUCCGGGUUGCGGACAGUGUCUGGUGGGUAGUUUGACUGGGGCGGUCUCCUCCUAAAGAGUAACGGAGGAGCACGAAGGUUGGCUAAUCCUGGUCGGACAUCAGGAGGUUAGUGCAAUGGCAUAAGCCAGCUUGACUGCGAGCGUGACGGCGCGAGCAGGUGCGAAAGCAGGUCAUAGUGAUCCGGUGGUUCUGAAUGGAAGGGCCAUCGCUCAACGGAUAAAAGGUACUCCGGGGAUAACAGGCUGAUACCGCCCAAGAGUUCAUAUCGACGGCGGUGUUUGGCACCUCGAUGUCGGCUCAUCACAUCCUGGGGCUGAAGUAGGUCCCAAGGGUAUGGCUGUUCGCCAUUUAAAGUGGUACGCGAGCUGGGUUUAGAACGUCGUGAGACAGUUCGGUCCCUAUCUGCCGUGGGCGCUGGAGAACUGAGGGGGGCUGCUCCUAGUACGAGAGGACCGGAGUGGACGCAUCACUGGUGUUCGGGUUGUCAUGCCAAUGGCACUGCCCGGUAGCUAAAUGCGGAAGAGAUAAGUGCUGAAAGCAUCUAAGCACGAAACUUGCCCCGAGAUGAGUUCUCCCUGACUCCUUGAGAGUCCUGAAGGAACGUUGAAGACGACGACGUUGAUAGGCCGGGUGUGUAAGCGCAGCGAUGCGUUGAGCUAACCGGUACUAAUGAACCGUGAGGCUUAACCUU